GAUUCUUUGGCCGAUAGAAGGUGAUUGUCUUGAAAACAGUGAAGGGUGAAUUAAAACACCAAGAGUUU
This 68-nucleotide transfer RNA is filed under the name Eubranchipus grubii. RNAcentral's name for it is "tRNA-Ser". The record is from RNAcentral. Lineage: Eukaryota; Metazoa; Arthropoda; Branchiopoda; Anostraca; Chirocephalidae.